Molecule: regulatory RNA element, 59 nt
Organism: Carboxydothermus hydrogenoformans Z-2901
Lineage: Bacteria; Bacillati; Bacillota; Clostridia; Thermoanaerobacterales; Thermoanaerobacteraceae
Rfam family: Selenocysteine insertion sequence 3
Source: Rfam
CUCUGACACAGUUCUACGGUUGCCGGUCUGGCACCAACCUUUGGUCGUGGAGCUAUGAC